GUGACGUCAUACACUUGUAAAAUUAAAGUUUCAUUUUCACUUUUGUUUCUAAGAAGUGAACUUACAUUUUCAGAAAAUGUAGGACUAUCUUUUGUUUUUACUCUCUUUUUUCUAUGAUGAUUUUCCUACUGUGAAGCUUUUCUUGAAUAAAGCUCAAUUUCUCUAUGACCACGGAAGUAAACAUCCUGAUGCAUUCUUAUCAUGUGAAUGUUGAGAGCGGGUUAAUUUUUGAAAUAUCUUUUCUGCCAGACCUAUUUCACAGGAUCAGCUGAGAUGUUAUUUCACUGGAUUAUUUAAUGGAUAGGCUUGUUGGGCAUAUAGUUGGAUAUCUCUGGAUCAGCUGAGAUGUUAUUUCACUGGAUUAUUUAAUGGAUAGGCUUAUUGGGCAUAUAGUUGGAUAUCUCUGGAUCCGCUGAGAUGUUAUUUCACUGGAUUAUUUAAUGAGUAGGCUUAUUGGGCAUAUAGUUGGAUAUCUCUGUCAUCAACAUGGAAGAUAUGGUUUGUUCCUAACCAUCUAUAAUCAAUUCUCUAUGAAGUUCAGACUGUCUGCUGUUCCUUUGGAUAUACACAGUUAGUCAACCAACAUAGAAACACACAAACUUGAAGGAUUCUCUAGUGAGGGCUUAUGGAAAUGAUCUAUGUCUACUCUCAGAAUGGUGAAAGACUAUCAGAUUAUGCAAAGACUAACAGAAUAUCCUCUCUUGGAACACUGAAACAAGAAAAUCAAACAGGAGAUGGAUGGAGGAUUUAAGAAGCACAUAGAUAAAUAUGAUUUCCAACUAAUUUAAUCAGUAUUAUCAUAGACUGUGGUUUACAGGAUGACAAAGAAAGGACUCAGGAUUGUAUCUUUCACUGUCAGACACUGACUAUGGAUAAAGGGUAAUCAUUUAUUAAACUGAGAUCUAGUCAAAUCAAGUACAAUUGUAUUGAAAAUAUGAUUUUCUGAUAGCAUGAACGCUUUAAAAAUUAAUUCUCACAGACCUCAAAGUAUCUGAAUGUGACUUUUAUUUUUACCAAUUCCUAUUGAAGACUGUUGUUAUGUAUGAGAAGUAUACAUUUAAACCUUUUAUUUUUCAUCUUAUUUCUAUACCCCCCUAGAAAUUACACAGAUAUUCAGAUGCUGGAUUUAAUAUUAUUAUUUAACUUUCCUGGAAUGGUAAAUAUAUUUUGUUUGUGUAUGUAUCAUGUUUAAUUUUAAAUUUAAAAUUGGUCUCAAUAAGACCCCCAAUAAAGAUGCAAGUGUCCCAUAAUCUGUGGUUUAAUAAUAUAUUGAAUAUCUUUAUCAUACCAUAUUCAUCAUACUAAUUACAUAUAGAAUGAUUGUAGGAAUACACUUUGUUGUUUAGGACACUUUGUCAAGGUCAAAGCAUAAGGUUAUUGAGAUAACUACCUUUGACAAUAAUUUGUAACUUACAAACUUCACAUCAUAAGUACACAGAUGAAGAAUCAAUAAGAUAUUUCUAUAUAGAUUUUUUGGAUCAUUUACUCCUGGGUAAAAGUUAGUUACUUACUGAGAUUAGGCUGAUUUGAGUCCUGUAAUGCAAUAACUUAAACAUUGUGUGAUAACUUAUAGACUUUAUAAAAAUUAGGUGCAAAUUCUUAGGAAAGGAUUGAAAUGUUAAUCAAAUGUACAAUGUUCAAGGGUGUUUAUAUGACUAUUACUAUGUAAUACCUAGGGUUUCUGUAAAAAUCCUAUAUUCACUACUUAGAUAAAGACAGGUAUAAUAUAUAUUUUAAACUAUGAUGAAGGGAAAAAAAAAAGUUCAAAAGCUCUCCCCUUCAUAUCUUUCAUAUUCUGUCAAACACAACAAUAGAUAAAUUGCAGUCAUUUAACAAACUGAGGUCUAAUCAAAUCCUAGAAUUGAUAUAAUUGUGAUUUUCUGAUAGUAUGAGAUCUUCAAAAAAAAAAAAUAAUUCCCAGACUUCAAAGUAUCUAAAUGUGACUUUUAUUUUUACCAAUUCCUAUUGAAGACAGUUGUUAUGUAUGAGAAGUAUACAUUUAAACCUUUUAUUUUUCAUCUUAUUUCUACAACCCCUAAAUGCUAGCUUUGGUGUAAUUAUUACUUUCCUGGAACUGUAAAUACAUUUUGUUUGUGUAUGUGUGUGUCCUAUUUUGAAUUUAAUAGGUCUCAAUAGGACCCCCAUAAAGAUUUAAGUGUCCCCUGAUCUGUGAUGUAAUAAUAUCUUGAAUAUUUCUAUCAACCAUUAGACUUCAUGCUUACUACAAAGAACAGGUUAGAGUAAUACAGUUAGUUUUAUUGGACACUUUGUCAGGGUCAAAGCAUGAGAUUGUUGAGAUAACUACCUUUGACAAUAAUUUGUAACCUGCAAAAUUCACAUCAUAACUAAAGAAAGAUUCGGAGAUUUUUGGAUCAUUUUUCUCCUGGGUAAAAUUUAGUUGUUGUAACUUUAACAUUUUGUGAUAACCUAGAGACUUUACAUCAGCUCUAUUGGGUGGCAUAGCAUAUUCUUUGGAAAGAAUUGAAAUGUAAAUCAUAUGCACUAUGUUCAAGGAUGUUUAAAGACUAUUACUAUGUAAUACCUUAGAAUUCUGUAAAAAAAAAAAAAAUUUAUCGCUGCGUAGAUAAAGACUGGUUGGAAUAAUUUAUGUUUUGAAAUAAGGUUUAGGGAAAAAAGUCAAGAAUGUGGAUAUGACUUUUAUUCAAAUGGUGCAUUACAGCAACUCUGGUGAUUUACAUACCUUCAGUCAUAAAUACAUGUAGAUAGGUAUUUGGAAGACUCCUCUAGAUUUUGAAAUUUUUAAUUCAAAAGUAUAGAUUUUUUAUUUUAAGUUUGAAAGAUUAAAUGGCAGCAUAUCAUUUGCUUGUGAAUUAAAAAAUAAAUCCAAACAUAUACAUCUUUGGAUGAUAAUUGUAGCAUUUUAUCAAUUCCUGGACUUCGGUCUUGAUAUCAUCCUUAUAUGUCCUUAAAAUUUUAAUGACUGUCUUUUACUUUU
Saccostrea cuccullata (small rock oyster) is the source of this 2956-nucleotide long non-coding RNA. RefSeq lists it as uncharacterized. The record is from RefSeq and is a predicted model, not a curated record. Lineage: Eukaryota; Metazoa; Mollusca; Bivalvia; Ostreida; Ostreidae. The transcript has 6 exons.